RNAcentral lists this ribosomal RNA (487 nucleotides) under uncultured bacterium. RNAcentral's name for it is "bacterial SSU rRNA". It matches the Rfam family "Bacterial small subunit ribosomal RNA", at positions 501 to 987 of the family's 1533-position model. The record is from RNAcentral.
CUACGUGCCAGCAGCCGCGGUAAUACGUAGGGUGCGAGCGUUAAUCGGAAUUACUGGGCGUAAAGCGAGCGCAGACGGUUACUUAAGCAGGAUGUGAAAUCCCCGGGCUCAACCUGGGAACUGCGUUCUGAACUGGGUGACUAGAGUGUGUCAGAGGGAGGUAGAAUUCCACGUGUAGCAGUGAAAUGCGUAGAGAUGUGGAGGAAUACCGAUGGCGAAGGCAGCCUCCUGGGAUAACACUGACGUUCAUGCUCGAAAGCGUGGGUAGCAAACAGGAUUAGAUACCCUGGUAGUCCACGCCCUAAACGAUGUCAAUUAGCUGUUGGGCGACUUGAUUGCUUAGUAGCGUAGCUAACGCGUGAAAUUGACCGCCUGGGGAGUACGGUCGCAAGAUUAAAACUCAAAGGAAUUGACGGGGACCCGCACAAGCGGUGGAUGAUGUGGAUUAAUUCGAUGCAACGCGAAGAACCUUACCUGGUCUUGACAU